UAGGGAAUCUUCCGCAAUGGACGAAAGUCUGACGGAGCAACGCCGCGUGAGUGAUGAAGGUUUUCGGAUCGUAAAGCUCUGUUGUUAGGGAAGAACAAGUGCAAGAGUAACUGCUUGCACCUUGACGGUACCUAACCAGAAAGCCACGGCUAACUACGUGCCAGCAGCCGCGGUAAUACGUAGGUGGCAAGCGUUGUCCGGAAUUAUUGGGCGUAAAGGGCUCGCAGGCGGUUUCUUAAGUCUGAUGUGAAAGCCCCCGGCUCAACCGGGGAGGGUCAUUGGAAACUGGGGAACUUGAGUGCAGAAGAGGAGAGUGGAAUUCCACGUGUAGCGGUGAAAUGCGUAGAGAUGUGGAGGAACACCAGUGGCGAAGGCGACUCUCUGGUCUGUAACUGACGCUGAGGCGCGAAAGCGUGGGGAGCGAACA
RNAcentral lists this ribosomal RNA (427 nucleotides) under uncultured Bacillus sp. RNAcentral describes it as "bacterial SSU rRNA". It matches the Rfam family "Bacterial small subunit ribosomal RNA", at positions 355 to 774 of the family's 1533-position model. The record is from RNAcentral. Lineage: Bacteria; Bacillati; Bacillota; Bacilli; Caryophanales; Bacillaceae.